UGGGGAAUAUUGCACAAUGGGCGAAAGCCUGAUGCAGCAACGCCGCGUGAGUGAUGAAGGCCUUCGGGUUGUAAAGCUCUGUCUUUUGGGACGAUAAUGACGGUACCAAAGGAGGAAGCCACGGCUAACUACGUGCCAGCAGCCGCGGUAAUACGUAGGUGGCAAGCGUUGUCCGGAUUUACUGGGCGUAAAGGAUGCGUAGGCGGAUUUUUAAGUGAGAUGUGAAAACCCUAAGCUUAACUUGGGGACUGCAUUUCAUACUGGAAAUCUAGAGUGCGGGAGAGGAGAAUGGAAUUCCUAGUGUAGCGGUGAAAUGCGUAGAGAUUAGGAAGAACACCAGUGGCGAAGGCGAUUCUCUGGACCGUAACUGACGCUGAGGCAUGAAAGCGUGGGUAGCAAACAGGAUUAGAUACCCUGGUAGUCCACGCCGUAAACGAUGAGUACUAGGUGUAGGAGGUAUCGA
RNAcentral lists this ribosomal RNA (463 nucleotides) under uncultured bacterium. RNAcentral's name for it is "partial 16S ribosomal RNA". It matches the Rfam family "Bacterial small subunit ribosomal RNA", at positions 355 to 835 of the family's 1533-position model. The record is from RNAcentral.